CAAAAGCGCAUAAAUUGUUCGAUAUCAUGUACCAAAUAUCUAAACGACAUAUUGCGAAACAAAUAUUUAUCGCAAGAACAAAAUUAGGCGGAAGAAAAAAAAAAUAAUCUGAAGAAAAACAGUAGGUCUCUCCACAGAAAAGUGGAUAGUCCAAAUAAUCAGAAGAAAAACAAUAGGUCUUUCCACAAAAAAGUGGAAAGACCUAAUAAU
This 210-nucleotide long non-coding RNA is filed under the name Mytilus galloprovincialis (Mediterranean mussel). Lineage: Eukaryota; Metazoa; Mollusca; Bivalvia; Mytilida; Mytilidae. The record is from RNAcentral.